UUCAGAUUUGUCACUACUCUGUGUUGUUGGAUAGCCAUGAAAUUGAUGGCGGUGGCUCAGAGGCGUCAUGGUGAAUGGCGAAGCUUCUAAAAUGGACGGAAGAGAGGUGGUGACUCGCGGCUGGGAGACGUACAUAUUUGAGGAAAUACGAUUCAUAAGGUUUCAUAUUAACAAAAAAUGAUGAUCUUUGUAAAGUAAUAUGAACAUUUUGUUGAUUCCGGGACAAUUUUAUUCUCCAAUAUGAAUCCGUAAGAAAAGAUAUGACAAUACAUUUGUGCAAA
Triticum aestivum (bread wheat) is the source of this 281-nucleotide long non-coding RNA. RefSeq lists it as uncharacterized. The transcript has 2 exons. The record is from RefSeq and is a predicted model, not a curated record. NCBI's taxonomy places the organism in Eukaryota, Viridiplantae, Streptophyta, Magnoliopsida, Poales, Poaceae.